This 629-nucleotide long non-coding RNA is filed under the name Homo sapiens (human). Its description in RNAcentral is "HSALNT0198198". Lineage: Eukaryota; Metazoa; Chordata; Mammalia; Primates; Hominidae. The record is from RNAcentral.
AGAGAGACCAUGAUGGCGGCGGCGCUGGGGCCCCCAGAAGUGAUCGCUCAGCUGGAGAACGCGGCUAAAGUUCUGAUGGCACCACCUUCCAUGGUCAAUAAUGAACAACGCCAGCAUGCAGAGCACAUAUUCUUAUCAUUUAGGAAAUCAAAAUCACCAUUUGCAGUUUGCAAGCAUAUUUUGGCUGUGUUAUUUUUUAGUUCUUCAUGCUUUGGAAGUAACAGUUGAAGAGAGGUGAGGAAAGUUUGUGAAAAUUGUGAUCGGUGAUUAGCUGCCACCUGCCUGAGGUGUCUUCUGAGAGGAACUAACCUCUUUGUGGUGCUAGAGCAAGGUCACUGGAUAAAAAAAAGAACAGAAACUAGUAAAGUGGACUAUGUCCUCUUUCAAGCUGCCACAGCCAUAAUGGAAGCAGUUGUCCGAGAGUGGAUUCUCUUGGAAAAAGGUAGCAUCGAGUCUCUGCGAACAUUCCUUUUAACCUAUGUCUUACAAAGGCCCAACCUUCAAAAGUAUGUUCGGGAACAGAUUCUACUAGCAGUAGCAGUAAUUGUAAAAAGAGGAUCAUUAGAUAAAUCAAUUGACUGCAAAAGCAUUUUUCAUGAAGUCAGCCAGUUGAUUAGUAGUGGCAAUCC